Long non-coding RNA from Glycine soja, 609 nucleotides. RefSeq lists it as uncharacterized. The record is from RefSeq and is a predicted model, not a curated record. NCBI's taxonomy places the organism in Eukaryota, Viridiplantae, Streptophyta, Magnoliopsida, Fabales, Fabaceae. The transcript has 2 exons.
AGAUGGCCCACCAAGUAAACCAUCUAUUGGACCACGUUGGAGAUUAAUUUCUGGAAAUGAAACAUCCUUUCUAGGGUCGAAUCCUUCAGAGGUGUUGGCAUUGCAAAGUACACGAAUAGAGUUCUUACGCAAGUAAGGGAUUAUGAACUAGUGGUAAUAAGAUGUUCACCCAAUCAUGGCAAGAGAGCAUGAAGUGAUCAGCUCCAAGGCUUCGAUUCCAAUAAGGGUAUCUUGCAGCAAUGACAUUGAUAUAGUCCCUGACUGUUCUUUUUAUGGGGCCAAAAUCGUGUGAGUCCCUUAUGUACACGUAUCGAACCAUCAUUACUACGCUAAAAGGAAGGAAAAACACAUGUGCUUUCUUGGGAUCUCUUGUUCUAAAAUGCUCAUUCAUUUCAAUAGCAUGGAUGAAGCUCCCCUCCGUGGAGUAUAUGCUGGCGCAUGGUCCUUCAUGGAAAACUGGAAGUUCCCCCUCUUCAUAGACAAAUACUUUGAAUUGUUUCUCCAUUUCUAAGUAGCUCCUAUUGUAGCAAUUUUUUGAAGAGAUGGAGAUUAAUAAGUGAUUUGUAAUGAACAAUGGAUAUAACUCAAAAUUGCAUAUAACAUUAUUCA